GUGGCGAACGGGUGAGUAACACGUGAGUAACCUGCCCCCUUCUUUGGGAUAACGGUCGGAAACGGCUGCUAAUACUGGGUAUUCACUGUCCUUCGCAUGGGGGGUGGUGGAAAGGUUUUUUCUGGUGGGGGAUGGGCUCGCGGCCUAUCAGCUUGUUGGUGGGGUGAUGGCUUACCAAGGCUUUGACGGGUAACCGGCCUGAGAGGGUGACCGGUCACAUUGGGACUGAGAUACGGCCCAGACUCCUACGGGAGGCAGCAGUGGGGAAUAUUGCACAAUGGGCGAAAGCCUGAUGCAGCGACGCCGCGUGAGGGAUGACGGCCUUCGGGUUGUAAACCUCUUUCGCUCAUGGUCAAGCCGCAACAGUGGUUGUGGUGAGGGUAGUGGGUAAAGAAGCACCGGCUAACUACGUGCCAGCAGCCGCGGUAAUACGUAGGGUGCGAGCGUUGUCCGGAAUUAUUGGGCGUAAAGGGCUUGUAGGCGGUUUGUCGCGUCUGCCGUGAAAUCCUCUGGCUUAACUGGGGGCGUGCGGUGGGUACGGGCAGGCUUGAGUGCGGUAGGGGAGACUGGAACUCCUGGUGUAGCGGUGGAAUGCGCAGAUAUCAGGAAGAAC
Molecule: ribosomal RNA, 613 nt
Filed under: uncultured Actinomycetes bacterium
Lineage: Bacteria; Bacillati; Actinomycetota; Actinomycetes
Description: bacterial SSU rRNA
Rfam family: Bacterial small subunit ribosomal RNA
Source: RNAcentral